GUCCCUGAGACAGCUCGGUGGCAACGACGGCUCCUUUGUUAUGGGAAAGGGGAAAGUGGUGACCGCGCCCAGCGUUGCCUGGAGAACUCCUGGACUCACAGUGGCAAAAUGGGCCUCUCCCCGACUCCCCUCCUCCUCCUCCCGACCGCAAAGCAAAGGGCACCCUUCCUGGUGGAUGUGUGGGCAACGGGUGUCGGGUCCCUGUCCAGAACUUUGCGGGGUCCCCUGAGGGACCCGUGGUGGAACUGGCCCCGGGUUCGUCAAAUUCCGCUGAUGCUUUCAGGCAUGAGCAGUAAUGUUGAACCAAAGCAAGAGGCUUCUUGACACAGUUGCCCUAAGCCUGGCUUCUCAGAGAACGUAUUGCCGUUUUCCAGGAGACUGACUGAACAGAGAACAAGAUUGGUGUGGAAAAUGAGAGGCUUUUAAAAGUGGAAAUUUUUUGUUUGUCACCUUACAAGAAGUUGGACAGUGAAUUGUUUCAGGAAGAUGGAGAUCAUCAACAUCAAGGCCCUACCGGUGACCCCAGUGGAUGAAUACCUGGGCUUCUCUUUCGCCUGGCAUGGAAUGCAGAGCACUAUGAGGAAGGAUUCAGAGCACAGUCCUCCCGCGUGCGUGAUUGGCUCCAUGUGCCAGGUGAACCAAAGGAUUGCAGAAGCAGACCUGACUGUCAGCACGCUGGCCAACAGCCUGGCAAUUGAGAGAUUUGAGCUGGAGAAGAAGGCUUUAAGAGAGAAAAGUCACGGCAGCCCGGGAGACAGAGUCCAGAGACGAAGAAAAUCACAGUAUUCCUGCAAAGGCACAGAAUUCAGGAUUGCCAGAUCUUACAUUACAAAACGGAAAACAGCGGAUAAAAAUCUUCUGGCAGAGCUGUACCAGUAUCCCACAUUCGACAGCUCUAAGCCAACCAACCUUCCAAAUGGAGUAGACUUCUGCGACAUGGUGGGCAAUGUGGUCCGGGCUGAGAGAAACACCCUCAGUGGCAAGGCCUUCUGUUCAGAGAGAGAAUUAGAGAGGUUUCUCUCUUCUCCUCCCAUAAGAGCUAUGUGGCUGGAUAGCUUCUGGUGGAUAUUUCAUGAGAGGUACCAGCCAAACCAGGAGAUUCAGAACAAGCUGUUCGACCGGAUAGCUCAGCACUACACCUUCCUAGUGUUUCAAGUACCUAGGUCUCACUAUGAAGAGGCGCUCCUGACAAGGCUGCCAUCACUUCUGAGCAAAGGGGUGUACACCAGCUUCUGCUGCUGCUUCCCACAGUCCUUGUUCAACACACAUGAAUUCAAGUCUGAAAUCUGCAACACCCUAAGCCUUUGGAUUUCAGGUAUAUAUCCUCGCCUACAGAUCUAUGAGAAUUGGGAUUACUCGGAACUGGAUCCAGAGAGAUUCUGGAGAGAAGAAUUAUUGCUACAGAGGAAAAGAAAGAUAAGGGGAAGAGAGCUUUUUCCCUUCCCUUAUAAGACAUACUACCAGAGGAUAGAGGAGAGCAAGAAGUCCAGCCGCUGUCAGUCUUCUAAUGUAUAUUUAUACCAUGAAAAAUGCUCUUCGGCCAAGCAGAAUGCAGAAGUAAACACACGACCACAGAAUACCGUAAAAGAGCAUUAUGGUCAGGUCCUAGUCUUGAGGAAAGCUACACAACAAGUCAAGAGGAUAUCAGAAGCAAGAGAAUAUGAGAAUAUGCUUCCUAGAAAGUCUUGCCCUGCUUGCAAGAGCCCUGAAAUGGCUUUAAACUUCUUCAACGUUUAUGGGAAGAGCCCUCUGAUCGUGUACUUUCUCCAUAACUACUCCAAUCUACGGCAGCACGGCAAGGACAUGUUGAUAGUCAGGAGGGAAAGGACCAAAAGCGUCCCUGAGUCCACCCCGACUUAUGCUGACGUCAUCAGCAUGACCCUGAGCAACAUGAAGACGCGAAAGAACAACUUCAAUCAGUUGUACCAGCUUCACUGUAAUGAAUGGAGUUACUUUAACAUGUACCUACAGGGACUGCAAGACCACUUCCUCAGGGAUGUGAAGAAUGUCACUCAAAGAGCAACAGACAUAAAAAAGGAAAACCAUAUGGUCGUCCCAUCGUCCGGCCUCAAUGAGGAAUUCCCUGACAAGAAACCUAAGGGAAACCUCCAGAAAGAGAGCCAGUUUGUUUUAAGAGUUGAUUGUUUUUCUACUGCUUACCUUUCAAUAUGAAGGAGGAUCAAGUUGUGCUGGAAGAACCAGGAUUCCAAGAUGAAGAGGAAUCUUUGUUUCAAGACAUUGACCUGUUACAAAAACAUGGAAUUAAUGUGGCUGACAUUAAGAAGCUGAAAUCAGUAGGAAUCUGUACCAUCAAAGGGAUACAAAUGACAACAAGAAGAGCCCUGUGCAAUGUCAAAGGACUCUCAGAAGCCAAAGUGGACAAGAUUAAAGAAGCAGCCAACAAACUUAUUGAACCAGGAUUCUUGACUGCAUUUGAGUAUAGUGAAAAGAGGAAAAUGGUUUUCCAUAUCACCACUGGGAGCCAGGAAUUUGAUAAAUUGCUAGGAGGUGGAAUUGAAAGCAUGGCAAUCACAGAAGCUUUUGGAGAAUUCCGUACUGGAAAAACCCAGCUCUCUCAUACCCUCUGUGUGACAGCUCAACUUCCAGGAACUGGUGGCUACCCAGGAGGAAAGAUUAUCUUCAUUGAUACAGAAAAUACUUU
Molecule: non-coding RNA, 2662 nt
Organism: Microcebus murinus (gray mouse lemur)
Lineage: Eukaryota; Metazoa; Chordata; Mammalia; Primates; Cheirogaleidae
Source: RefSeq, a predicted model, not a curated record